Molecule: long non-coding RNA, 862 nt
Organism: Grammomys surdaster
Lineage: Eukaryota; Metazoa; Chordata; Mammalia; Rodentia; Muridae
Exons: 3
Source: RefSeq, a predicted model, not a curated record
GUAAUCUACCAUGGAAAAAUGUUUUGGCAGGACUCAAUAGAUAAUUUAGAGAAGCCGAUAAACUCAGCCUGGAAAUGGGAUCGGAAGGUCAAAGGUCAAAGACUUCUAUUCCAAUAUGGUGUGUGACCUUGAGAGAUGAAGGAAUGGAUCGGGGAAAGAAGAAAUACACACAAGUAUUCAUGUAACAGUUCUUGUACAUCUAGAUGUGAAGGUGGAGCGAUGGGGAACGUGAACACCGGGCCUGCUUAGCAACGUGUUCCAGGAACUCAGUAAACGUCAACACGAUGAAGAUCAGGCCCAUCUCGGGCCGAGCUGGGCGUAUCCACACCCUUCCAGACUGUAGUGCCCUCUGUCUCUCCCUCUCUCCACUCUACCCCUCCUCUCUGAGUUCAGUAUUUGUCCUGAGCCUCGGAUCUGCACUCCGAGGCAAUAGCCAGGUGGAGAGUUCUUUGUUGUUGCUGAGACAUUCUUAGAGGUUUGUUACCCACCCUCCUUAAGUAGAGCAGGGCCAUGCAUAUGAUGGGACCACACUGACCCUUGAGGAGUGAUUUGAGAGAUGUGGUGACUGAGGGCCAGGUGCCAGGUGGAUGCUGUUCAGGUUUGAUUGCACAGGAGACUUGUACAUGCCCAGGGUGAGAUCUCAGAGUUCCUGAAAAUGAAUGCAGAAUAGAACUUGUCAGUGCUUUCCAAGCGUCCUGGGGUGAUUCUGCCUCUCGUAUGUCAUCCUUAUUACUUUAUAAUUACCUUAUGACCUUUACUGACUCUGACAGUUGUGAGUCUUAAAAAAAAAAAAGAUUCAAGAAUAUUACCAUUAUGCAGUUGCCUAGAAACAGGGCCUAAAAUACAUCUGGCUUUAAUAGAA